CUGCUGCUGCUGCUGCUGCUGCUUACACAGCCAACUCCAGUCCACACCAGAGCCCUUCCUUCAGCUUCAACAGCCAAAAAUGAGGUCACCAACAACAUGAAAAGCCAGUUUUUGGUGAGAAACAAGUGUACCUAUCAGCUUCUGGGCCUAGCAAGAAAGGCUCUGGCCACUAGUAAAUUCAACACCAGUUCUUGCUCUUUCUUUG
RNAcentral lists this long non-coding RNA (205 nucleotides) under Actinidia chinensis (golden kiwifruit). Its description in RNAcentral is "long non-coding RNA (ACHI_LNC009308)". The record is from RNAcentral. Lineage: Eukaryota; Viridiplantae; Streptophyta; Magnoliopsida; Ericales; Actinidiaceae.